This 408-nucleotide ribosomal RNA is filed under the name uncultured bacterium. RNAcentral describes it as "partial 16S ribosomal RNA". It matches the Rfam family "Bacterial small subunit ribosomal RNA", at positions 28 to 526 of the family's 1533-position model. The record is from RNAcentral.
GACGAACGCUGGCGGCGUGCUUAACACAUGCAAGUCGAACGAAGUGGCGUACGGGUGAGUACAGCGUAAUCCACCUGCCCUUCAGAGGGGGACAACAGUUUGAAACGACUGCUAAUACCGCAUACUGAAGGAGGGGAUUGCGUCUGAUUAGCUAGUUGGAGGGGGAACGGCCCACCAAGGCGAUGAUCAGGAGCCGGUCUGAGAGGAUGAACGGCCACGUUGGGACUGAGACACGGCCCAGAAUCCUACGGGAGGCAGCAGUGGGGAAUCUUCCGCAAUGGACGAAAGUCUGACGGAGCAACGCAGCGUGAGUGAUGACGGCCUUCGGGUUGUAAAGCUCUGUUAAUCGGGACGCGGUACCGGAAUAGAAAGCCACGGCUAACUACGUGCCAGCAGCCGCGGUAAUUC